ACCUGACUGCUAUCGGAUUGAUACUAAGCCAUGCGAGUCAUUGUAGCAAUACAAGGCAUACGGCUCAGUAACGCGUAGUCAACCUAACCUAUGGACGGGAAUAACCUCGGGAAACUGAGAAUAAUGCCCGAUAGAACAUUAUGCCUGGAAUGGUUUAUGUUCCAAAUGAUUUAUCGCCAUAGGAUGGGACUGCGGCCUAUCAGUUUGUUGGUGAGGUAAUGGCCCACCAAGACUAUUACAGGUACGGGCUCUGAGAGGAGUAGCCCGGAGAUGGGUACUGAGACACGGACCCAGGCCCUAUGGGGCGCAGCAGGCGAGAAAACUUUGCAAUGUGCGAAAGCACGACAAGGUUAAUCCGAGUGAUUUCUGCUAAAGAGAUCUUUUGUUAGUCCUAGAAACACUAACGAAUAAGGGGUGGGCAAGUUCUGGUGUCAGCCGCCGCGGUAAAACCAGCACCUCAAGUGGUCAGGAUGAUUAUUGGGCCUAAAGCAUCCGUAGCCGGCUCUGUAAGUUUUCGGUUAAAUCUGUACGCUCAACGUACAGGCUGCCGGGAAUACUGCAGAACUAGGGAGUGGGAGAGGUAGACGGUACUCGGUAGGAAGUGGUAAAAUGCUUUGAUCUAUCGAUGACCACCUGUGGCGAAGGCGGUCUACCAGAACACGUCCGACGGUGAGGGAUGAAAGCUGGGGGAGCAAACCGGAUUAGAUACCCGGGUAGUCCCAGCUGUAAACUAUGCAAACUCAGUGAUGCAUUGGCUUGUGGCCAAUGCAGUGCUGCAGGGAAGCCGUUAAGUUUGCCGCCUGGGAAGUACGUACGCAAGUAUGAAACUUAAAGGAAUCGGCGGGGGAGCACCACAAGGGGUGAAGCCUGCGGUUC
RNAcentral lists this ribosomal RNA (876 nucleotides) under uncultured euryarchaeote. RNAcentral's name for it is "bacterial SSU rRNA". It matches the Rfam family "Archaeal small subunit ribosomal RNA", at positions 21 to 903 of the family's 1478-position model. The record is from RNAcentral. Lineage: Archaea; Methanobacteriati; Methanobacteriota.